GCUGGUGUAGCUCGAUUGACAGAGCGAUCGUCUUGUAAGCGAUGGGUUGUAGGUUCAAAUCCUACCACCAGCCCCA
This 76-nucleotide transfer RNA is filed under the name Scytolyngbya sp. HA4215-MV1. RNAcentral's name for it is "tRNA-Thr". It matches the Rfam family "tRNA". From Rfam's summary of the family: Transfer RNA (tRNA) molecules are approximately 80 nucleotides in length. Lineage: Bacteria; Bacillati; Cyanobacteriota; Cyanophyceae; Leptolyngbyales; Leptolyngbyaceae. RNAcentral also lists the same sequence under 1 other name. The record is from RNAcentral.